RNAcentral lists this ribosomal RNA (253 nucleotides) under uncultured bacterium. RNAcentral describes it as "partial 16S ribosomal RNA". It matches the Rfam family "Bacterial small subunit ribosomal RNA", at positions 524 to 776 of the family's 1533-position model. The record is from RNAcentral.
CACGUAGGGCGCGAGCGUUGUCCGGAAUUAUUGGGCGUAAAGAGCUCGUAGGCGGCCUGUUGCGUCCGCUGUGAAAGCCCGGGGCUUAACCCCGGGUCGGCAGUGGAUACGGGCAGGCUAGAGGUAGGUAGGGGAGAAUGGAAUUCCCGGUGUAGCGGUGAAAUGCGCAGAUAUCGGGAGGAACACCGGUGGCGAAGGCGGUUCUCUGGGACGGUACUGACGCUGAGACGCGAAAGCGUGGGGAGCGAACAGG